UGCAGUCGAGCGGACAGAAGGGAGCUUGCUCCCGGAUGUUAGCGGCGGACGGGUGAGUAACACGUGGGUAACCUGCCUGUAAGACUGGGAUAACUCCGGGAAACCGGAGCUAAUACCGGAUAGUUCCUUGAACCGCAUGGUUCAAGGAUGAAAGACGGUUUCGGCUGUCACUUACAGAUGGACCCGCGGCGCAUUAGCUAGUUGGUGAGGUAACGGCUCACCAAGGCGACGAUGCGUAGCCGACCUGAGAGGGUGAUCGGCCACACUGGGACUGAGACACGGCCCAGACUCCUACGGGAGGCAGCAGUAGGGAAUCUUCCGCAAUGGACGAAAGUCUGACGGAGCAACGCCGCGUGAGUGAUGAAGGUUUUCGGAUCGUAAAGCUCUGUUGUUAGGGAAGAACAAGUGCAAGAGUAACUGCUUGCACCUUGACGGUACCUAACCAGAAAGCCACGGCUAACUACGUGCCAGCAGCCGCGGUAAUACGUAGGUGGCAAGCGUUGUCCGGAAUUAUUGGGCGUAAAGGGCUCGCAGGCGGUUUCUUAAGUCUGAUGUGAAAGCCCCCGGCUCAACCGGGGAGGGUCAUUGGAAACUGGGAAACUUGAGUGCAGAAGAGGAGAGUGGAAUUCCACGUGUAGCGGUGAAAUGCGUAGAGAUGUGGAGGAACACCAGUGGCGAAGGCGACUCUCUGGUCUGUAACUGACGCUGAGGAGCGAAAGCGUGGGGAGCGAACAGGAUUAGAUACCCUGGUAGUCCACGCCGUAAACGAUGAGUGCUAAGUGUUAGGGGGUUUCCGCCCCUUAGUGCUGCAGCUAACGCAUUAAGCACUCCGCCUGGGGAGUACGGUCGCAAGACUGAAACUCAAAGGAAUUGACGGGGGCCCGCACAAGCGGUGGAGCAUGUGGUUUAAUUCGAAGCAACGCGAAGAACCUUACCAGGUCUUGACAUCCUCUGACAACCCUAGAGAUAGGGCUUUCCCUUCGGGGACAGAGUGACAGGUGGUGCAUGGUUGUCGUCAGCUCGUGUCGUGAGAUGUUGGGUUAAGUCCCGCAACGAGCGCAACCCUUGAUCUUAGUUGCCAGCAUUCAGUUGGGCACUCUAAGGUGACUGCCGGUGACAAACCGGAGGAAGGGGGGGAUGACGUCAAAUCAUCAUGCCCC
Molecule: ribosomal RNA, 1160 nt
Filed under: Bacillus aerius
Lineage: Bacteria; Bacillati; Bacillota; Bacilli; Caryophanales; Bacillaceae
Description: bacterial SSU rRNA
Rfam family: Bacterial small subunit ribosomal RNA
Source: RNAcentral